AGCAGCCGCGGUAAUUCCAGCUCCAAUAGCGUAUAUUAAAGUUGCUGCAGUUAAAAAGCUCGUAGUUGAAUUUCGGGAUCAAUAUGUUGGUCGUGCCUCGGUACGUACUAGCUUAUUGGUUUCUUCCUUCUGACGAACCAUAAUGUCAUUUAUUUGGUGUUAUGGGGAAUCAGGACUGUUACUUUGAAAAAUUAGAGUGUUUAAAGCAGGCUCACGCUUGAAUACAUUAGCAUGGAAUAAUGAAAUAGGACGUUUGAUUCUAUUUUGUUGGUUUCUAGGAUCGACGUAAUGAUUAAUAGGGAUAGUUGGGGGCAUUAGUAUUCAAUUGUCAGAGGUGAAAUUCUUGGAUUUAUUGAAGACUAACUACUGCGAAAGCAUUUGCCAAGGAUGUUUUCAUUAAUCAAGAACGAAAGUUAGGGGAUCGAAGACGAUCAGAUACCGUCGUAGUCU
RNAcentral lists this ribosomal RNA (450 nucleotides) under uncultured Glomus. Its description in RNAcentral is "SSU rRNA". It matches the Rfam family "Eukaryotic small subunit ribosomal RNA", at positions 569 to 1026 of the family's 1831-position model. Lineage: Eukaryota; Fungi; Glomeromycota; Glomeromycetes; Glomerales; Glomeraceae. The record is from RNAcentral.